This 808-nucleotide ribosomal RNA is filed under the name Euhadra quaesita. RNAcentral describes it as "partial 16S ribosomal RNA". The record is from RNAcentral. Lineage: Eukaryota; Metazoa; Mollusca; Gastropoda; Stylommatophora; Camaenidae.
GAGCUAAAUAUAAUUAUAAUAUAUAGUUAUUAGAUUUGGUGUAGCAAAACCAUAACCAAAAUUAUAUUUAGGGGUGACAGGCCUCUCAAAAACUAGGAUAUCUUGAUUCCAAUAAAAUGUAUUUAGUGCAGUUAAUACAUUUAUUAAGUGUUUAGGCUUAAUAACAAUAUUAAUUUAUACACUACGGUAUUAUUACGUUUUAAUAAAUAAAUAUAUUACAACCAUAAUAUUCUUCUAUGAAUACUAUAGUUAGUAAUUGGAUACAAUAAAAUAAUAUAUAUUGUGGAUAAUGUUGGUAUUAGUAUUAUAUGUAAGUUUUUAUAAGGAACUCGGCAAAAGUGUUUCUCAACUGUUUAUCAAAAACAUAACUAUGUGUAUAUAUUCAUAGUGGUUUCUGCUCAAUGAUUUAUUAAAUAGCCGCAGUAUACUGACUGUGCAAAGGUAGCAUAAUCAAUUGGCUUGUAAUUGAAGUCUGGAAUGAAGGAAAGUAUGGGGAGCCACUGUCUCAAAAAAAAUAUGGAGAAUUUAUUUAUGAAGUGAAAAUCCUUCUACAUAAAAUAAGGGACGAGAAGACCCUAGAAAAUUUUAGUAAUAUUAGAUAUAUCUCUAGUAAUUUUUCGCUGGGGCGGCGGAGUAACAUUGAACUUACUUAUAUAACAUGCGACUUGUUUGGCAAUUGAUAAAUUUACUCUAGGGAUAACAGCAUAAUAUUUAAAAGUUUGUGACCUCGAUGUUGGACUAGGACAUAAUAACCUAAAAGGUUUUUUAUAGUGCUCUGUUCGAGCAUAAACUCCUACAUGAUCUGAGU